UUGCGCCACGUAGGACGAGAGGUCAUUAAUUCGAAGUCUAAGGAGAUGACAUGUGUUUGUGUCUGUUAAGUGUUAUUAGGCUUAAGUUCAGAUUAUGUUUUCGGCCCAGAAACUCUGCUAUGCUCUAACCCUAAUAUAAUCUGACGACGCUUUCUCUCCUCUGCGUUUUCGACAAAUCUCACCCAUUACUCCUCAUUUACUUCCAUCCUUUAAUUCAAUCUUAAUGAGAGAACCUAGAUCCUUUCACCUUCCUUUUGCUCCUCAUGUUAUAUAAACCUUCUCCUCGAAUCUCACCUCGAUCCAUUUUCGACAACCUCCAUUCAGCCAAAUCAAGCAAUGGCACUGAAAUCUGAUCAAAUCUCCGGCAAGUUUUAGUUCCAGUGGGCCCUACAUUUUAACGACAUCUCAGGUCCUCAAGUUAUGAGCUGGAAAGCUGAAACCCUUACGAUGUCCUCCCCUGCUAAACUCUGCUGCGGCCAAGUUUUCUCCAAGAAAUAUCUCACUUUCUCAGGCCCUUUGCCUAAUUACUUUUACUGGGAAAUAUAGGCGUUUCCCUUUUCUUUUUGAAACGGAUGUAUGAGUCUCAGAUGAAUUAUGUCAUCUUGGCUGUUUUUAUCUCAACAACUUUAUAUCGUAAUUGGUUAAGUUUCAAUAAAAAAAAUUAUUUUUUUUG
Molecule: long non-coding RNA, 673 nt
Organism: Raphanus sativus (radish)
Lineage: Eukaryota; Viridiplantae; Streptophyta; Magnoliopsida; Brassicales; Brassicaceae
Exons: 2
Source: RefSeq, a predicted model, not a curated record